CAGAAGGGGGUGAGCUGGGCCGAGCAAAGCUGCAGGAAAGCCUGAGAGAAGCUUGGAAAAUUGGCAGGAGGCUCCUGCAGAGGGGAAGCUACCCCAGAGAAAGCCUAGAGAAAGAACUGGUGAAGUAGCAGCACCAGAAACGUACUGCGAUCUGGCUGGCAACAUGAAAAGCAUGGUGGGCCGGGUGAGCAAUAAUCCGGGCCAGGAACACUGGUUGUUUUUUAUUGUAAUAUGAAGAUGGAGGCCCCAAGUGAGAAUUCGCCAGCUGGACCAGUGAUGAGAAGACAAUUCCAAAACCCAGUGGAACGGGCGAGGGUGUAGGGAAUGAUGGAGCCCUCAUGAACAUAGGAUGGUGGACAACAACUGACUGGAACUGCACGCCCAGAUUAUCUUCAAUUGAAGAGAGUGCAGCAGUCCGUUGGGAGGAUCAUAACACAUCAAUCAAGUGGAGAAAGGGGGACCAUAGGAACAGAGGACUGAAACUAGCCCCCUGGCUGAGACCUCUGCAUUCACAAGACAUACAAGUCCUCUGCACUUCUCCAAGACAUCUAAGAACUGUCCCCUCCAACUCUUACGUACAACACAGCCAACAUGUUUUUGAGCAUAAAACCAGUGACACCAUACACUGUGCCACUGCUUAAAAAGCAAGGGAGACAAGUAUGUGAGGUGCUACACCUCGGAAGGAAUAAUAAAAAAUACAAAUACAAAAUGGGUGAUAAAACAGUACCCUGCUCCCUGCAGGGCCAGAUGGCAGCACUAUGAAGAAGGACCUGGAAGUCUUGGUAGAUCAUAGACUUAAUGUAAGACUGCAGUGUGAUGUAGCUGCACAAAAGAUAAGUGCAGUUUUCGGAUGCAAGAAUAGAAACAUUAGGGGUAAGACAUAGGAGGUUAGAGUGCCUCCCUACUUGGCACUAGUUAGGCUUCUAGUAGAGUAUCAUGUUCAGUUUUGGAUUCCAUAUUUUUACAAAGAACGUGGACAAGUUAGAGAAGGUCAAGAAGUGGGUGACAAAAAUGGUAAAUGGCAUGGAAGGCGAGUCAGCUUGCAGGAAAGGUACUUAAGAGGGGACAUGUUAUAAGAGGGCUGCCUUAAAGAAGAGGGAAAAUGCCUUUUCUUUCUUGCUGCAGAGAGUAGGACACACUUCAAUGGCUUGAAGUUGCAGACAGUCAGUUUAGAUUGGGUAUCAGGAACAACUCCUUCACUGACAGCAGAGUGAAGGACUGGACUAGACUGCCUAGGAAAGUUGUGAAUUCCUGUUACUGCAGGUGUUCAAGAAAAGUUUGGACAGGGAUGAUCUAAGCAUAGCUAUGUUCUACUGCAGAUAUUUCCUAUGCUUCUGGGCUUUGUUGGUUGCUGCUUGGGGGCAGGAUGGACUUUUUUCCUCUCUUGCUGUCACAUUUUCCUCAGAAAUAUUAGGUGUUGGCUGCAGCCAAGCUUAGGGGUUUUGGCUGGGGUGUGCUAGUGCUCUUGGUGGGAUUUAAACCUGCAGAUUCCCAGCUAGAGGGUCUUGUCCCUUCACUCAGGGUCAGACCAAUUUCCAUAUUUGGAGUCAGGAAGGAAUUUUGGUCAGAUUGGUAUGGGCUGUGGGGGGUUUUGCCUUCCUUUGUAGUGGGGAACAUGACUUUCUUCCUGGGAUAUUGCAAGCAUAUUUUAACAACUUUUGCAGAAGUAGGAUUUUGCCUGCCAUGGUCCCCAUGAUUUACCUCUGGCAGACUAGGGUGUUAUGUCUUGUGUUGUCUGGAUUUACUGUAUCAUUUUGCUAGGAAAUUAGACAAUAGAUUGGUAUUGGAUAAUCCUGCCUCUGGCAGGGGGUUGCACUACAACACUUCUAGAGGUCCCUUCCAGUCCUUCUUCUCUAUAAUUUUAUAACUGAUUGUAUGCCUUCUAUGUCAUUGCAAAGAAAAUAAGUCUUUUGGUGACCUUAGCAAAAGGGAGGAUUAUUCUCCAAGCCACACAGGAAGACAACUCCUUCCCUCACCCACUACAGUCCUUGCCAGUCUGACCUGGGGGAAAAUUACUUCCUGAUUAUAAAUCUGGCAAUUGGUCUCCCUGGGCACAUCUAUGUGUGCCCCUAUGGCGCCAUUGUUGCUGCGCUGUGGCGGCGGCGCAGUUAUUUUUAGCCCCUAUGUUGUUGUAGUGAUGUGCUAUACUGAGGGAGUUUGUCACUAUGGAGAUGUAGCUGCAGCAUCACAGUUUGUGCCCGCCAAUGCUAUGUCACUAUAGUGCAUUGCAAUGGUGAUAUAGUCUUACAUGUAGACAUAUACCUCCUGAGUGGUAAAAAAGACCCUCCAAUCAGGUCCCUGAGAGGUUUCUAAAUACUAGAAGUACUCAUGAGAGAAAAAAAAAAUCCUCCAAACCCCUGCAGCUAAGUGGCAGAAGCUUUAAAUGGAUUAUUAAUCCCCUCCCUCAUGGAGUUAUCUAUCACUCUAAUUUAGGGAUAGUUAACAUUUGACUCAACAUAUCCCAAACACUGGGUGUGUCUACUCAAGAUGCUUUACUGUUCAUUAGUCUAAUCUAAUGCACAGUAAAGUGUUGGCAUCUACACAAAUGCAGCAAUUACUAUGUGAUAGUUUAGUCAAAUGUGCCAUUUUCUAGUACCUGUAAAUACUAGCUCCCCCUCGGCUGCUGAAGAGGGGAGAGCAGGGCAGGAACAGCCCUAAACUGAACUAGUCCCAUUGGGAGCAAAUUUGUUCCUGAUGGAUGCACGUUCAGAUGCAUGCAGGGGAACAGUUUAACGUGCCUGAAUUUUCUGUGCAGAAAAUUCAAGUAAUUGAUUCCAUGUGUAGAGACUGAAAAUUGAUUAAAACAGACCCUUUUUAUCAUGCUAACCCUUCCAUAACAUUAUCGAGGAUUGGGACUCUGUUGCCUUGUAGUUAGGGAGUGCUGCUUUGAGGUCCAGACUGUUUCUGUAUUUCUUCAAAUAACUAUUGUAUUUAAAACACAGAAUAAUCUUUGGAACAGAGGUCACAGUCAGGGAGUUCCCACUCAUGGGUGUGUGCACUUGUCACAAAGUGGAUAAGUCAUUCUCCUUCUUGCUCUUGAAUUCUUGUAUACUUGAUGAGGAAGUGAUUGAAAGUCUAGACUAAUACAGAACAGACCUUCAUCAACCAUGCUUUUAAAAAGCAAAUGGUAGCCACCAUGACAUUGUGUGCACAUUGAAGUUUACAUAUAGCACACUUGAAUAAUUCCUACUAGAUGAACCAGCCUUGAGAACUCCUAUAUUCUGGAUUCUCGUUGCACUUAGAUGUGAGACGGUUGCCAAACUGGUUAGAAUGGAACAGUGAGACAUGUGCAGUGGUGCAAUUUUGGGCACCUGAGAAACUUUAAGGUCAAAAUGUAAUGUGUAUUUGAAAGUUAGGUGGAAACUAAACUGGGUUUUUCUGCACUUUGGUACCUCACUUCGCCUAAAUCAUGUAUUUUUUUUUUUUUUUUUUUUUUACUGAAACCAGCCCUGAGAGCCUGGCAGAUGGAAAAGGCCAGCUGUUGUAUGCUUACUGCUCUUAUAGCAAAACUGAAAAAUGGACACUGGUACAGUUUGUAUUAGAAUGUAAAUGAUGGUUUACAGAUUAGAGGACAUUAUGAUUACCACAGUCAUUUCACAGUAUUUAGUCAUAUACUACCUAAGUAUUCCCCUAAUUUUUCUGGUAGAAAAAUUCUGUAGGGUCCAUCUCACAAAACUUAUUUUGUUGCAAUAAGUACUUUUGCAUCAGUGACUUCACACUUGCCUGGAUUGUCAACUCAAAGCAUUAACUUCUGAGGCUAGAGAGUUUUUUACUCCCAAUAACAUAAAACCUACCUGGGACUGGGUGAGUAUCUUCUACUUUAGAUCUCACAUUUAAAUCUAAGUUAGAGAAAGGGGAAAAAGAGGAAAACAUGUGAAGUGGCAUCUAAAGACUGAUUUACUAUAGUAAUUUACUUGAUUGUUCCAAAGCUUAAUAUACGUGGAAGUACCCUGACACAGGGCUACUGAGAUGGUUAGUGACUGUACCAGCCGAAUCUUGACUGCCAGAUUAUGUAAAGGCUCAUAGUCCUCUGUUUCUAAAAAAUAUAAAUGUGAUUCUGACAAUAAUAGAUAAAGAUUCCAGCUUUCGUUAAACUGAACAUUUUCCAAUUUAGUGAACUGUGUUUAUCUGUUUCAUAGGGGCCGUUCUAUAUGGAUAACAAAAAAGGGAAACUUGCUAAAUAACAUUUUAACAUCACUUAAGAUGAUGAUCCUAAAAAAAAAAGAGGAAGAUCAACAGUAGUGCUGAUACUUUCAUAUUUGACAUAAAUUAGCACAAUAUAAGAACAUGAGUGACAUAAAUUGUUACAGUAGAUAACUACCAAACUCUGUGCAGGACAUCUUAUGGAAUGUGUAAAAGACUGAUGCACCUUAGGAGACAUUUAGCAACAUAGAGGAACUUUUCUUUAGGAUUUGUCUCUCUUUCUUAUUUGAAGAUUAUCAUCAUUAUAAACUUAUUUGUAAAGGUCCAAAUGCUCUCUCACAUACACAGCUAGAGAAAUUGUAGGGAAUUUCCCUGCUAGGCUAUAGAGUUCUGCAGUUAUUAACACAGUAAUAUUGAAUAUGCUUAUCUAUAAACAUGUGCUGAAGUCCUAUUCACUUGCUUACAUAUAUUCCUGAAUACAGAUUGACUUAAUCAAGUGCUUCUUUUCAGUAAGCUAAGAGGAAUGGGAAAAAAAAAAAGGAUUGAUCAGCAAAGAAAGCUACAUUUUAGAGGUCAGGAAGUAUAAAGUGAGAAUUGUGAAAAUGUCAAGCAGAGUUAGGCCUUGCAAAGGCAAUUAAAACAAAUAGCAAAGGAUUCUUCAGCUAUAUGAAAAAACAAAAAGAACAAGAAAGAAGUGGGGAUGCUAUUCAGUGAGGGUGAGGCUGAUCUUAAAGAUAAUCACGGUGUGCCUUGAAAUGAAAGGAAUGCUUUGCCUCACUUUUUAAUAAGGAUGAUCAUGUUGAGCACGAGGACAAAAGCAGAAUAGCUAAGAAAAAACAAGGUAAGGACAUUAUCACACCCAAGGUGUAAUAAAACUCAAAUAGCUUAAUGUACUUAAACUGGGGGAACAAGAUAUUUUCCAUCCCCAAAUUAUGAAAUAAUUAUCACAUAAUACUGUGGGCUUAGGAGGAUCUGUAAUAAUUGUAUCAUGUUAGGUUAGGCAUCAUAUCAUUGAAAUAUAGCAAGCAUAGUAUCCCUAUUUAAAAAAAGAGAAAAAGUGGCUCAGGAAACAACAGACCCAUUAGUCAUAUCUAAAUAGCAUUAAAAGUUUCCAAACAAAUUUUGAAAGAAAAAAUGAUAUGGAGUGGAAACUCAGAUACAAGUCAAUCAAGUUACAUCAUCUCCAGCUAAGUUGAUUUAUUUUUUGAUAAAAUAAGUGAUUUGCAGGACAAACAAAAUGCAGUACAUGUAAUAUAUCUGGAUUUUAGGAAGCAAUUUGAUAUGGCGCUUUAUGGGAAUUUAUUAAUUAAGUUGACGAAGGUGGAAAUUUGUAUAAGAAAUGUAAGGAAAAAACUGGCUAAGGGGAACCUCCAUUGUCUAACAGAAAUUGUUUUUAGUUCUUAAAGGAGUUGGCCAUGACUUAUCUGGAAACAACAGAGAAAUAGAAGAACCUAAGUGUAGUAGUCAAUCAUAGGAUGAGUAUAAGCUUCCAGUGUACUAUAUGUGACAUGGUAUUUCCUGUAGAAAUAGGGAAGUGUUAGUGCCAUUUUGCAAGGCAUUAGUGAAUUUGGAAAGCUGCAUACAGUUCUAGUCACCCAUGUUCAAGAAGAAUGAAUUCAAACUGGAGCAAGUGCAGAGAUAGGUUAUUUGGAUGAUCAGGUGAAUGGAAAACCCACCAUACAAGAAGAGACUAAACAAAUUUGGCUUGUUUAUCCUUGCAAAAUCAAGGCUGAGAGGAGAUUCAGUUAUUAAUUGUAAAUACACUGGGGACUAAGCAGCAGACAAAGAGAAGAACUCUUCAAGCUUUAAUUUUGGCACAGAAAUACACCAGUAUAAACUAGCCAUGUAUAAAUAUCAGCUCAAUAUUAGAAUAAUGUUUCUGCUGGCUGUAGACACUUUGGGCCCUGACAGACAUACAGCUCCCUGAUCUAACUCAUGGUGUUUCACAGAAAGCGCCAUGAGUUACACUAACCCUUCUGACCCAACAGAUGUUAGCUGUUUGUUGGGAGCCUGGGAGAUCCAGGGAAAGAGGCUGCAUGUCUGCAGAAUCUGUUUCCUAGUCCCACCCCAUGUCCUGUCUCAGGAUGGGAGUGGGGAAAAGCAGGGGAAGGCAUUCUGUUCUGGGGUUUUCUCAGCCUACUCUGGAUUUGGGGGGUCAGGUGGAUAGGAGCCCCCCCCCACCUUGUGGGGGGGAGGGCACAGGGAACUCCAAUUCAUCCACCUCACCUUCCAGUACUGAUUCGGCAACCCCCAGACCAAACUCAUUUCCCUCCCUUCUCCUCCCUUUCUGAAGACAGCAACAGGAACAGUGCUGUCACUGGGAUGAGUCAGCCCAGCCCUCCUCCCAGUGUGCACGGACAGAUGUUAAUGAAUAUGCUCCGCUUUGGAGCGGCUUAAUCUGAACCCUCAUUACAACCCACACACCAACUGUGAGACAAACUGUCAUGCCUAUCAGUGCCCUUUCUCUUUCUCUUGGCAGAAGCAAGGACAGAUCUUUUUUCUUUUUUUGUGUCUUUCAAAAAUAAGGUACAUAUCUUAUUCAGGGGCCAACUGUAAGUAAGAAAAUAUAGUGUUAUUGGACAUCAGAGUCAAUAUGUAAAAAACGAUGAUAGGCCCCUCUAGGGACUAUUGUUUCCAGGUCAAGUUCUGUUAAUUACUACUGCAUCCCGUACACUCAAUUUAUUCAUCCAAAUUCUCUCUCUAAUGGUUAGUGACUUAGGCUUAGAUAUGUAACAUGAAAUAUGAUUUAACAGGGAAGUACAUAGUUAUGUAACUGCAGUUUUGACAUGUAAGCACAGUUCUAUUUCAUCACAGGGAAGAAUAGUAUCCCAAACUAUCAGGCAGGGAAGUAAUAUACAAGACAUUAUUGUAUAUAUUGUGUCAUGGUGAUAUGUUUGUUUCUUUUGCAUUUCUUUGAGUCAUGUAUAUAAAUCUGUAAUUGGCUUGGCUCUUUUUUGUUUAA
Molecule: long non-coding RNA, 7105 nt
Organism: Alligator mississippiensis (American alligator)
Lineage: Eukaryota; Metazoa; Chordata; Crocodylia; Alligatoridae
Exons: 3
Source: RefSeq, a predicted model, not a curated record